Long non-coding RNA from Drosophila subpulchrella, 1021 nucleotides. RefSeq lists it as uncharacterized. NCBI's taxonomy places the organism in Eukaryota, Metazoa, Arthropoda, Insecta, Diptera, Drosophilidae. The record is from RefSeq and is a predicted model, not a curated record. The transcript is spliced from 3 exons.
UGCAAAGGCGGUGUGGAAACUAUAAAUUAAAAAUGGAAGACCGCAAAAUCGACUGCAGGAGGAAUCAAAAACCACAACAGGGCAAAUCCGCAGAAUAGUUGCAGUGCUGGAGGAUAUCCGCUAGAAAUUCCAGUGGGAUGGAACAUGUCAAGUGGGACCUGGCGCCCAACAUGGACAUCCUGCCGGGUGUGUCCUCGCAAAGAAAGACUCCGUACACCACCACCACCAGCUACUUGGCAGCUUAAGCGGAGCUGGAGAACUCGCUGGCUUCUAUAGGGAGGAGGAAAAUAGGUCGCCCGCUAAGGAACAGUUGGAGAAGCCAUAGCCAACCACUGCCAGGAUACUGGGCGACUUCCCGCAACAUCAGCGGAUCAACCCCGUUCCCAAUCCGGCUCCCACUUCCUCAAGGUCCAAUAUGCCUUUGGGACUCGGAGCUGGACUGUGGAGGAGCGAGAAAGAUGGCGAACCAUUCGUGGGACGUUAAGGAAGCUUUAAAGUACGAAUUUACAUAAAUGAAAACAUUCGUUGAACAUUCCAUUUAUUUUUAUUUUAAUUUCUUUGUGCACCAGCAGACUAUUCCUCUUUAAAUUGCUCCAGUUGAUUUCUUUUCCGUUGGUCAAUAAACACAGGUUCUCGACAGUACGACCAUGGAACAUGCUUUGCGGGUGAACUUAGAAUACAUCGGUCACACUACAAAGAAUAAGAUUUUUCGACCAGUGAAACUCUUAGCCGAUCUGAGCUUAAGCUAAUGAGCGAAAUCAGUAUAACUUUCUAAUGAUGUUUUGGUCCUGUGCCAAAAACAAGUUUUUUUAUAUUGGCCCAAUUGAAGUUCAAAUGUAUACAGAAGCUCUUUUAAAAAAUACUGUAUAAAACUCAGGAAUACUGCAUCGAUUUGCGUGUGCGGUCCCAUUCUCCGCUGAAGUAAGUUGUAGCGACAUUCUUGCGACUCUUUCCUACACGUGUAUUUUUUAUAGCCUAGUACUCAGAUCGGCUAAGAGUCUCACUAGACGAAAAAUCUUAU